Molecule: long non-coding RNA, 576 nt
Filed under: Brassica rapa (field mustard)
Lineage: Eukaryota; Viridiplantae; Streptophyta; Magnoliopsida; Brassicales; Brassicaceae
Description: long non-coding RNA (BRAP_LNC007578)
Source: RNAcentral
AAUAUCAUGAUUAACUACUUUCACUCAUAUAUGUUGAAAACUAUUCAGUUUUAUUAUAUUUUAAUUUAUAUUACUUGAAACUGUUUAUAAUUUCAUGAUUUUAAUUUUUUACUUGUCAAAAUAUUUUUUUAAUUUUUUAUAAAUUAUUUUUAAGAUCAACUAUACCUGAAGACUUCUUUGGAAGUCGUCUACACGACUUACAAUAUCUCAGAAGACUCAGACGACUUUCCGGAGAUAUAUUCAUAAAAAUGAGUUCUGUUUUUUUUUUUUGUCACAAGGGGCUGGCUGUAAUUUCACAAGGCUUUUAGGUUAGUUUUGCAUUUGAUUCAAGUUUGGUUAUACUUUUGUAUUUAAAAUCAAGUUUUAAGCUAUAUUUUUGUAUUCUCUAUAAAGAUAUAUAAACUAUUUCAUAAAGAUAUAUUUUUGUAUUCUCUAUAAAUUUUAUCUUAUUUAAUAAUAGUAAAUUUUAAUUUUUUUAAAAAGAUCAAUAGAAUUUUUUUUGAAUUAUUUCUGGUUUAUUUUUAUUAUAAAUUAGUAAUUAUAAAAAUGAUACAUUAUACAAAUUUAAUGUAUUUU